UGAGGAAUAUUGGUCAAUGGGCGCAAGCCUGAACCAGCCAAGUCGCGUGAGGGAAGACGGUCCUAUGGAUUGUAAACCUCUUUUGCAGGGGAGCAAAGCCCGGUACGAGUACCGGGAAGGAGAGUACCCUGAGAAAAAGCAUCGGCUAACUCCGUGCCAGCAGCCGCGGUAAUACGGAGGAUGCGAGCGUUAUCCGGAUUUAUUGGGUUUAAAGGGUGCGCAGGCGGGCUGUUAAGUCAGCGGUAAAAUGUCGGUGCUCAACACCGGCCGGCCGUUGAAACUGGCAGUCUUGAGUGAGCGAGAAGUAUGCGGAAUGCGUGGUGUAGCGGUGAAAUGCAUAGAUAUCACGCAGAACUCCGAUUGCGAAGGCAGCAUACCGGCGCUCAACUGACGCUCAGGCACGAAAGCGUGGGUAUCGAACAGG
RNAcentral lists this ribosomal RNA (424 nucleotides) under uncultured bacterium. RNAcentral's name for it is "bacterial SSU rRNA". It matches the Rfam family "Bacterial small subunit ribosomal RNA", at positions 355 to 776 of the family's 1533-position model. The record is from RNAcentral.